Molecule: non-coding RNA, 342 nt
Organism: Biomphalaria pfeifferi
Lineage: Eukaryota; Metazoa; Mollusca; Gastropoda; Planorbidae
Source: the annotation of a GenBank genome assembly
AUGUUACAUGUGUAACCUAUUGUUGGCUGUAAAUAAAUACUAAUUCUAUACUCCUUCGUUGAGUGGUACUUCACAAUACUUGUACAUGUAAAGCUCUGCAUGUGAAAAUCAUAUCCCUGUAACUUACGACCCUCCAAAGAACUAACCCAUAUCCUUUACACAGUUCCUAUAACUCAUCUCCCCUUAUGGCUUCAUUUACUUCUCUUUUCUUUUCAGCAGUGCAUUAAGUUAAAAAAAAUGAAGAGACACAAAUUCCACAUCUUUUCUAAACUCUCUCUCUCCCCUCCCCCUAAAGCCCUUCCUUCCGCUCCUUAUCUCUCUCUCAAACUUUCUCAAUAUUAA